CAAAGAUUGCAUAUUUGACGACGCCACAUAAAUGGAAUAGGUACUAGCUAGCUUAAUAGUUAAUGUUUGCCCGCCAGCUCUGAAAAUUCAGCUAGUGUGUGAGUAAACCCUGCCAACAUAAUUAUUUUAAUUUAAAAAAACAUUGCUAUGGCGCGAUUGACUAGAUUACCCUCACGUCAGUUACGUGCCUUCCAGAAAGUAGAUACUAAUAUCUGUUGGAAAAAAGUUUGGAUGUUGCCACACACAUACCUACUUGUUAACAAAAUUAAGGAAGUUACCUUUAAAAUUAUUCAUAAAUAUUAUCCUGCCAACCACUAUAUGAAGACGUUUAAGGAAAACAUCAACUCAAAUUGCUCCUUUUGUAAUGACCACCCAGAAACAGUUUUGCAUCUUUUUUGGCAUUGUAUGCAUGUAAGAAAACUGGCAAGACAUCAGUAGGUUUAUAAUUGAACACAUUAAUGAAGAUUUUACACUAUUGUGGAGAGAUGUACUGUUUGGAUUCUUUACAUACAAUAGAAAUAAGCGGAAACAUUUUUUAUGUAAUUAAUUUCAUUAUUCUUUUGGACAAAUUUCAUAUACACAAAUGUAAAUUUACAAACAGAAAACCACAAGGUUUUAAGGUCCUUGUGUAAUUGUAAUGUGAUAUUGUACCCCCUAGCACGAUUGUCCAUUGUUUGUAAUCUAUGUAUGCUUGUGUUCCCUCAUGUGCUUUAUGUAUUGUUUUGUUGUUAAUUUAAAAAAAAGAUACGAACCCUCUGUUACCUGCCAGAUAAGGAACUGGCAGUGGAUCAAACCAUUGUGAGGCAAAGGGCGGGGGGUCGCAAUCUUUUGAAAUCUUUUAAUCUUUUAAAAACACACUAUUAAGUGUCUAUAAUCAGCGCAAGUGCUUUCAUUGCGUAUUAUUAAUAUUAUUGAAAUUACAUAGUUAGGUUUACAGUGAUAUAUUGGGGGAGACAAAUCAUAUUUUUCCCAGGAUGGGGGUCGUGCCCCCCCCACCGCCCCUGGGAUUUCCGCCUAUGCCUGAAGAGUCAUCCCAGCUCAGGCACGCUGGAACAUACCCAAUGGCUCCAGAGAGGUACAGCCCGCGGUGGCAGUAAGGGUAAGCAAGUGGGGAUUCGGAGAAGUACUCUGAUAUGAGCUACAUCAUGGAUCCAUUGUUCAGAGACUGUAGCAAAGGCUCAUUGAAGGGUAGCAGUGCUCCCUUCUCCCCAGACACAGAUCCUGUGCAGCCCAGUGUGGACCUGGAACUCGCUCGUAAGAAGGAGCUGGAGGUCAUAGAGGAGAAGAUAGCUCGCAAGAAAGCUGUUCUUGCUACACGAGAGCUUGAACACGGAGCUAAGGACAUGCCUAAAAAACAGACUGCAUCCACAACAGUGAAGGGCAUAUCUAAACAGACCAAAUAUGGACAAUACAAUAUUCAAAACAUACAACAAUGUCGCCGACAGGUCGUCACGCGUAUGCCUACCUCUUAAACGGAGGGUGCUGGACAUUCUAAGUAAGUUCAGAAGAACACCGGUACGGUACCUACUGCCUAAGGAUACCCCUGCCGAGCUGAAGAAUCAAAACAAGAUGCAAGCAUUGGAUCUGAUGAUUAGAGCUCCCCUAGAAAAUGAAGAGGCCCGUCCUCUGAGACUGAGGGUUUUAAUGAACCAGCGACGCUAUCCCGACAAUGAGGUGGUCCCUGAUGAUGAACCGCAUAAUCCAACCAUUCAGAGGCUACUUAAUUCACUCAGGACACAGGAGCAAGAUAAAGCAGCCACGGGCUUCCAGCGCUUCCUCAAUGUCCUCAAUGAAGGGGUGGACCUCAACAAGCUCUCAAAGAUCGUCAACGACGAAAAUGGGUUACUCAUUGUGGGCGAGGAGCUACCACAAGUUUGGCCGACUCUGCCCGAGGGUCAUGUUGACUCCAGCAGUAGAUCCAAGUCUUCUCUAGUUGAGGAGAAGACGAAGGUGAGGCUUGAGGAUGAGCAGCGGCACGAGCAGAUGCAGACCCUGCUGGAGAUCGUUGGGCUGGACUUGGGGGUUGAGGAGUUGGGUCAGCUGACAGACAGGACCAAUGACAGGCUGUAUGGGAAGAUGGGAGACUUGAAAAGGAAGGAGUUCGAGAAUGAGAAGGGGAAAAGAGAAAAGGGAAAGCGAGCCCUCAUUUAAACAUCUUAGUACUUCCUCAUUACCAUCAGACAGCGCCAGCCCCCUUCUAAACCAGCACUCAAACAUGACCGUUGAAUACAGCAGCUCUAGUGACAGGGUAUGGGACAUAGAGAGAGACGGGGACAGAUCUGAGAGGGACUGCCACUGACACUCUGGUGCCAGAGAUCUGAAAGAGAUUGAGAGGGAGAUGGGCACAGACACUCUAGUACCGGAGAGAGAACAUGGACAGAGUCAGAGAAACUAAGAGAUCAGAAGGAAAUGGAGAGAAAGACAGUAACAGAUCUGAGAGAGUCAGAGAUCCAGAGAGAGACUGGGACAGGGGGAGGCCGGGCCGAGCGAGAGACUGGGACAGGGGGAGGCCGGGCCGAGCGAGCGACUGGGACAGGGGGAGGCCGGGCCGAGCGAGCGACUGGGACAGGGGGAGGCCGGGCCGAGCGAGCGACUGGGACAGGGGGAGGCCGGGCCGAGCGAGCGACUGGGACGGGGACAGACCUGAGCAGCACAGGGACAGAUCUGAGAGGCACAGAGACAGAGUGAGGUGCCUGCAAAGGGACAGGAACAAACAUUCUAGGACCAGAGACUGGGACAGUGAGAGCGACUGGGACAGCCACUCUAUUACUAGAGACUGGGACAUGGAGAGAUCUGAGAGGGAUUGGUAUGGGAAUGAGUCCAGGGAAAGCUCCAUUGAGCUCUACUCAUACUCUAUGGACCCUAUAUACCCUGUUUCUCAUGCAUCUAUGAUGGCAACCUGCUCCCCCACCCAGUACUCUCAGUAUAUGGCAUACCACAGCAGCCCCUACACCAUUGCCUUCCCUCCAGGGUGGGGUUAUCCUCAUGGUACUAUGCCCCCUGGUACCAUGCUUCCUGUUACAAUGCCACCUGGAAUCAUGCCUGCUGGUGCCAUUUCACCUGGUAAUAAGCCCCUCCUACCUAACCCCUCUGGGGAUCCACCCUACCCCAGUGCCCCCCCAUAUUUCUCUAAUGGAACCACAGCCUUAAACCAGACAUGCGUAUACUCCCAGCCUGCUAGCAACCUCCAGCUCACAUCUACCCAGCCUGCUACUAGCUACCUCCAGCUCUCAUCUACCCAGGCUGCCAACACUGCAGCAGUCUUGCCCCUCCUAUGUAACCCCCCCAUUUGUCACAAGAAACAUGCUCCCUGGUAUAAAUAAAAAUUAAAAAUAUGCCCUGAAGCAAGUUUGUAGACAAAUGGAACGGAAAUGGCGCUCCACCAAAUUGGAAGUCUUCCGACUAGCUUGGAAAGAACUAUCGAAAAGCCCUCACUGCUGCUCGAUCGGCCUACUUUUCCAACCAGACUGAGGUGGAUAAAAACAAUCGAAAAUGUAUUUUUGAUACUAUCGAAAAGAUAACUAAAAAGCAGCAUUCCCCAUGUGAGGAUGGCCUUCACUUCACCUAAGCAGUUACAUCCUGCCUGGUUGGCCCUGUCUGGGGGUAUCAUCGGACUGGGCCACAUUAUCUAAGCACUGAGUUCUGUCUAAGCACUUUGUGACAUUUACUGAUGGAAAAAAGGCUUUCAAAAGUAAAUUAAUUUGAUUGAUUGACCUUAAGUCAGAGAUACAACAUACAUCCAACCCGCUAGCAACCACCAUCUCACAUACACCCAGCCCGCUAGCAACCACAAGGAAAAGAGAUAGAAGCAUGCAGAAGCCGUAGUGAAAGCGAAGAGACAGAAACAUGUAAAAGUGUCCUGUCAGAUGGUGACAAAGUCCCCCUCUGAACCGGGAUGAAUGAAGAGAGCAAAGGGGGUAAACAAUAUAUUCCUCUCAGGUAUUUUCAUUUAGAGUUAUCACAAUCAUCUAAGGAAGCGUCUGUGUAAGAGGAAACGGCUUUUGAAGCGGAGGAAUAAGGCUCCCCAGCACAAAAUGAAGUGACUGCUUGCAGAAGUAUCAGGGAAAAAGUGACCCCUCAGGUUGUUGCAACGGGUUUCCCCUUUGAAGAGGAGCCCAAGGUCCAGAAGGAGUAGCAAUGAUAGAUGGGGAGAAACUAAAUGCUGACACAGAAGAAGUGGUCCCUCAGGAAGCUAGAUUUGUCAUGACACUAGCGAAAGGAUUUGUUAUAGUUUAUCCUCAUCCUUAAAUGCUUCAUGUUGAAGCUAUUUUCAGUGUAAUGUUUUGCAUUGUGUGUGGUAUGGGUAGGGCCAGGAGUUUUUCUUGACUAUGAUAUCUGCUCAGUAAACACAUUUUCUCGCCCGUUAUAAACCAAAUCUUAAGGCCGUGGAGUUGACUUGGUCUGGUCAUGUGGUCAGGAAAAACUCCUGGCCUUGGGCAUAGUACAUGUGUAUCAAUGCAAUGACAUGUUUGUAAGUUCUCAUGCCUGAUAGCUAAAAGCAAGAAAACUGCCCAGGUUUCACUCCCCAGUUCAGUCUAUAGAUCGUCUUUCACGUUGUAUAUAUUUAAAUUAAUAAAGUAUUCUGUCUAAUA
Long non-coding RNA from Oncorhynchus tshawytscha (Chinook salmon), 4592 nucleotides. Lineage: Eukaryota; Metazoa; Chordata; Actinopteri; Salmoniformes; Salmonidae. The record is from Ensembl.